This 267-nucleotide ribosomal RNA is filed under the name uncultured archaeon. Its description in RNAcentral is "partial 16S ribosomal RNA". It matches the Rfam family "Archaeal small subunit ribosomal RNA", at positions 718 to 982 of the family's 1478-position model. The record is from RNAcentral.
AGUCACUGACAUUAGACUACCCCGGUAGUCCAGGGUGUAAACGCUGCAGACUUGGUGUUGGAGGCCCGUUUGGGGGCAUUCAGUGCCGGAGAGAAGUUGUUAAGUCUGCUACGUUGGGAGUACGUCCGCAAGGAUAGAAACUUAAAGGAAUUGGCGGGGGAGCACCGCAACGGGAGGAGCGUGCGGUUUAAUUGGAUUCAACACCGUAAACUCACCAGGGAAGACUGUUACAUGAAGGCCGAGAUGAAGACUCUGCUAGAUUUUCAG